AAGGAUUUAAGUUAAUUAAACUAGAAGCCUUCAAAGCUUCAAAUAAAUUUUAUUAUUUAAGCCUUA
Molecule: transfer RNA, 66 nt
Filed under: Staphylinoidea sp. 15 KM-2017
Lineage: Eukaryota; Metazoa; Arthropoda; Insecta; Coleoptera
Description: tRNA-Trp
Source: RNAcentral